GCCUGGUUAGCUCAAUCGGUAGAGCGUGAGACUCUUAAUCUCAAGGUUGCGGGUAAGUGCUUUCAAAAAAAGAGAAAAAAAAAAUGCUAUAAAAUGCUUUCCGGCCUAAUGCUAACCCGAACUAAUAGGUUCGACCCCCGCAUUGGGCU
Non-coding RNA from Nemania serpens, 149 nucleotides. The record is from the annotation of a GenBank genome assembly. Lineage: Eukaryota; Fungi; Ascomycota; Sordariomycetes; Xylariales; Xylariaceae.